CCUACGGGGGGCAGCAGUAGGGAAUCUUCCGCAAUGGACGAAAGUCUGACGGAGCAACGCCGCGUGAGCGAAGAAGGCCUUCGGGUCGUAAAGCUCUGUUGUUAGGGAAGAACAAGUAACGCAGUAACUGGCGUUACCGUGACGGUACCUAACGAGAAAGCCACGGCUAACUACGUGCCAGCAGCCGCGGUAAUACGUAGGUGGCAAGCGUUGUCCGGAAUUAUUGGGCGUAAAGCGCGCGCAGGCGGUUCCUUAAGUCUGAUGUGAAAGCCCACGGCUCAACCGUGGAGGGUCAUUGGAAACUGGGGGACUUGAGUGCAGAAGAGGAGAGCGGAAUUCCACGUGUAGCGGUGAAAUGCGUAGAGAUGUGGAGGAACACCAGUGGCGAAGGCGGCUCUCUGGUCUGUAACUGACGCUGAGGCGCGAAAGCGUGGGGAGCAAACAGGAUUAGAUACCCGGGUAGUC
RNAcentral lists this ribosomal RNA (465 nucleotides) under uncultured bacterium. RNAcentral describes it as "bacterial SSU rRNA". It matches the Rfam family "Bacterial small subunit ribosomal RNA", at positions 338 to 795 of the family's 1533-position model. The record is from RNAcentral.